UACGUAGGGUGCAAGCAUUAAUCGGAAUUAUUGGGCGUAAAGGGCGCGUAGGCGGAUUGAUAAGUCAGAUGUGAAAUACCAAAGCUCAACUUUGGUGCUGCAUUUGAAACUGUCUCUCUAGAGGAUUGACGGAGAAAGCGGAAUUCCACGUGUAGCGGUGAUAUGCGUAGAUACGUGGAGGAACACCGGUGGCGAAGGCGGCUUUCUAGUUUAUACCUGACGCUGAGGCGCGAGAGCAAGGGGAGCAAACAGG
Molecule: ribosomal RNA, 253 nt
Filed under: uncultured bacterium
Lineage: Bacteria
Description: partial 16S ribosomal RNA
Rfam family: Bacterial small subunit ribosomal RNA
Source: RNAcentral